GUACGGGAGGCAGCAGUGGGGAAUUUUGGACAAUGGGGGAAACCCUGAUCCAGCCAUGCCGCGUGAGUGAAGAAGGCCUUCGGGUUGUAAAGCUCUUUCAGCCGGAACGAAACGGUCACGGCUAAUACCUGUGACUACUGACGGUACCGGAAGAAGAAGCACCGGCUAACUACGUGCCAGCAGCCGCGGUAAUACGUAGGGUGCAAGCGUUAAUCGGAAUUACUGGGCGUAAAGCGUGCGCAGGCGGUUUUGUAAGUCAGAUGUGAAAUCCCCGGGCUUAACCUGGGAACUGCGUUUGAAACUACAAGGCUAGAGUGUGGCAGAGGGGGGUGGAAUUCCACGUGUAGCAGUGAAAUGCGUAGAGAUGUGGAGGAACACCGAUGGCGAAGGCAGCCCCCUGGGUUAACACUGACGCUCAGGCACGAAAGCGUGGGGAGCAAACAGGAUUAGAUACCCCGGU
This 460-nucleotide ribosomal RNA is filed under the name uncultured bacterium. RNAcentral's name for it is "bacterial SSU rRNA". It matches the Rfam family "Bacterial small subunit ribosomal RNA", at positions 339 to 791 of the family's 1533-position model. The record is from RNAcentral.